ACACAUGCAAGUCGAGCGCGAAAGCUCUUCGGAGUGAGUAGAGCGGCGGACGGGUGAGUAACGCGUAGGAAUCUACCCAGUAGUGGGGGACAACUUGGGGAAACUCAAGCUAAUACCGCAUACGCCCUAUGGGGGAAAGCGGGGGACCUUCGGGCCUCGUGCUAUUGGAUGAGCCUGCGUUGGAUUAGCUAGUUGGUGGGGUAAAGGCCCACCAAGGCGACGAUCCAUAGCUGGUCUGAGAGGAUGAUCAGCCACACUGGGACUGAGACACGGCCCAGACUCCUACGGGAGGCAGCAGUGGGGAAUAUUGCGCAAUGGGCGAAAGCCUGACGCAGCCAUGCCGCGUGUGUGAAGAGGGCCCUAGGGUUGUAAAGCACUUUCACUUGGGAGGAAAGGUUCGUAGUUAAUAACUGCGAGCUGUGACGUUACCUUGAGAAGAAGCACCGGCUAACUCCGUGCCAGCAGCCGCGGUAAUACGGAGGGUGCGAGCGUUAAUCGGAAUUACUGGGCGUAAAGCGUGCGCAGGCGGUUUUGUAAGUCAGAUGUGAAAUCCCCGAGCUUAACUUGGGAACUGCGUUUGAAACUACAAGACUAGAGUGUGUCAGAGGGGGGUAGAAUUCCACGUGUAGCAGUGAAAUGCGUAGAGAUGUGGAGGAAUACCAAUGGCGAAGGCAGCCCCCUGGGAUAACACUGACGCUCAUGCACGAAAGCGUGGGGAGCGAACAGGAUUAGAUACCCUGGUAGUCCACGCCCUAAACGAUGUCAACUAGUUGUUGGUGGAGUAAGAUCCAUGAGUAACGUAGCUAACGCGUGAAGUUGACCGCCUGGGGAGUACGUCGCAAGAUUAAAACUCAAAGGAAUUGACGGGGCCCGCACAGCGUGAGCAUGUGUUUAAUCGAUGAUACGCGAGACUACAGGCUAAUGUAGAUGCAUAAGCUAGAGAUAGCUAUUUCCUCCGACUAUCUACAGUGCUGCAUGGUGUCGUCAGCUCGUGCGUGAGUGUCAGUA
This 1008-nucleotide ribosomal RNA is filed under the name uncultured bacterium. RNAcentral describes it as "bacterial SSU rRNA". It matches the Rfam family "Bacterial small subunit ribosomal RNA", at positions 51 to 1080 of the family's 1533-position model. The record is from RNAcentral.